Gallus gallus (chicken) is the source of this 170-nucleotide long non-coding RNA. RefSeq lists it as uncharacterized. NCBI's taxonomy places the organism in Eukaryota, Metazoa, Chordata, Aves, Galliformes, Phasianidae. The transcript is spliced from 3 exons. The record is from RefSeq and is a predicted model, not a curated record.
CUCACUGCCUGGCAGAGGGUGUGGGUGUGCUUCCAAGCUGUGUGCCUUCAUUCAAGAGCUGGCAGUUGGUCACGGAGUUCGUCAGCAGCACUGACAGGCUGCAUUUGAAGAUUCUGUUAUUCAGAUGCACUUUCAUGAAGGUGAAAGAUAACAAAUUGAGCCAGGUAUGC